GGCAAGAUGGCCGAGCGGUCUAAGGCGUGUGACUCAAGCGAAAGCUUACCUGCAUUUAACAGGUUUCUCAUCUCGGCAACGGGGCGCGAGUUCAAAUCUCGCUCUUGUCA
Transfer RNA from Stereum hirsutum FP-91666 SS1, 110 nucleotides. It matches the Rfam family "tRNA". Rfam says of the family: Transfer RNA (tRNA) molecules are approximately 80 nucleotides in length. Their secondary structure includes four short double-helical elements and three loops (D, anti-codon, and T loops). NCBI's taxonomy places the organism in Eukaryota, Fungi, Basidiomycota, Agaricomycetes, Russulales, Stereaceae. The record is from Rfam.